RNAcentral lists this small RNA (494 nucleotides) under Arabidopsis thaliana (thale cress). RNAcentral describes it as "ATSL259920". The record is from RNAcentral. Lineage: Eukaryota; Viridiplantae; Streptophyta; Magnoliopsida; Brassicales; Brassicaceae.
UAUUUAAUUUACUCUAUUUUUUAAUAAUUUUAUGUUUUUUGUUUAUUUUAUGUGACAUUCGAUCUACGUCCGUAAUCAGAUUGAGAAUACAAGAACGUCUCAUACCUCAGAAAAAAUUUAUAGUUCUGCAUUUUGCUUUUUUUUUGCGAGAGUCGGCGGCAUCUCUGUCACACUGAACAGUAAAGAGAAAAAUAUAUUUAGGAUUUAUUUUAAUCGUGUAUUUAUACUGUGUUUUUUGGGCUGGGUCUUAAACAAAUCUGCCCAAAAAAUAUAUAUAUAUAUAUAUUUUAUUUUAUCUCUUGUGAAAAUAUGUAAACAAUUUAUUCUUUUUGUGCUGAAUGAUUAAUAAGUGAAUGCAAGGUUCCAAGUUUAAGAAAAUAUAUACUCGAUUUGAUCCGACGAAAUCAUAUGGAAUUGCGAGCAAUACAUUUAUCAAGGUUUUAAAAAUUGAGAUUUCAAAAUAACGCUUUUGUUAUUAUAACGACAAACAAAAU